Silurus meridionalis is the source of this 1727-nucleotide long non-coding RNA. RefSeq lists it as uncharacterized. The transcript is spliced from 3 exons. The record is from RefSeq and is a predicted model, not a curated record. NCBI's taxonomy places the organism in Eukaryota, Metazoa, Chordata, Actinopteri, Siluriformes, Siluridae.
CCAGUCAUUGUACCCACAUUUAAAGUAUCAACUCCUUCACUUCUCCUUUCCCUGCCGUCUCUGUAGACGUCUUCCUCCUCUCCCUCCCGAUGAUGUCAGGUGAUAAGAACACCAUUAGCAAUGUGCAAGCCUUCAAACAAAUUUGCAAAACUAAAUGGAGUGUGCAUGUCUCAUCCGAGGCCCUCCGAAAUUUGAGCGAGGCAAAGUGGAACUCUCCAACUUCUUCCCUUUGCUGAAGAUGUGAAAAAAAUGCAUCAGUAUCUUGACAGAGUAACGAGAGCCAAACUAAACCUGAAAAAAGAUCCAAGUAACAAGCACUGGGCAGAAGUUGCAAAAGUGACACUCAGGUGAUUCUGUUCAAUUGUAGAAGGAAGGAGAAGUAUCCAAGCUGUUCCUUUACAUUGAGGCACACCUCACUGACUCAUCCAAAUGUAGCGCUCGCUCUGACAGACCUUGAAAAGAAACUGUGUAAGCACUUCCAGAGAAUUGAGAGAAAAGACAAACGUGGACAAAAUUCCCUUUGUUCUCACUCCUGAUAUCGUGACCUCAAUGGAGUUACUUUUAAAGACUGGCAAAAACUUUGAUGUGCCCAAUGAAAACGUGUUCAUGGUUGGACGACCACAAGCACUCAGUCACUUCAGAGGAUCACACAUUAUUCGUCAGAUUGCUCAAAGCUGUGAAGCAGAACACCCUGAAGCGUUAUCCUCCACUAGACUUAGAAAGCACAUGGCCACUAUGUCCAAGGUCCUUAAUUUGAAAGACAAUUAAAUGGAUGACCUUGCUGACUUUUUAGUACACAACAUCAGGGUGCAUCGGCAGUACUACAGGCUACCUGAAGGUACAUUACAGCUGGAGAAGAUAAGUAAAGUUGGAGAGAGUUGAUGAGAGACAACUAUCUCAUUUCAAAAAAGCAAUCUAGAUGAGAUCCAGAUUGAUCCACAAGAGAGAGUACUGAUGGACAGUAAAGGAUCAGACUCUGAAAACGAGAAAGAAAACAAUGCUUCACCUCCACCAUCAAAUUCUGCAGACAAAUCAAAGACGACGACUCCUGAAGUUUGACAAGACAAAAGUCAUCACCCGGCUAAGGUUAAAACUAUUUUGAUAUUGAAAACAUCUGGGAAUGUUGUACUUGUAAAGAAAGUGCAUUCUGUUUAGGGAUUUUAUGAUUGGAACCAAUUGAUUAUAACCAAUUCCCAGUGCAGGAAUUUGUGCUUAAGACCAUGUAAAGGUGACGUGUAUAUAAAUAUGCCAGAUUUACAACUAUGCAAGCGAGCAUUUUAGCACAAAUGUGUCUAAAACUGUACAACAAUGAAAGUCAAACUAAAUAUUGUGUAUUUUACUGAUACGUUAUGACAGGGGCGUAGCCAUCAUUUCAAAAGUGGGGGGGGACAAAAUGUCUAGUGUUACACAUUGGUACUCUAAGGUAGUAGUGUGUACCUUUUUGAGUAUAAAGUACAAAGAUGUCCUUAUAAUGGUAUUAAAGUAUAUUGUUUACAUAUUUCACAUUGUAUUUUGUGUAUGCACAGUACAUGGCACACAGUAAUGAAGACUUGCACAUUCAAAUAAUACUUCAUUUUGUUCUAUUCUACAGUCCAUGUUUCAGGAAUAAAACAAGUAAUUAAAAACAAACUAUUGAAAGAAAAUAUGUAUUGAACUCAACUAACAAACAUGUCAAGACCCAAUAUCAAUUAUAUAAUGAGAUGAAAUAAACAUUUAGUGUCACUUCU